RNAcentral lists this ribosomal RNA (446 nucleotides) under uncultured bacterium. RNAcentral's name for it is "partial 16S ribosomal RNA". It matches the Rfam family "Bacterial small subunit ribosomal RNA", at positions 338 to 795 of the family's 1533-position model. The record is from RNAcentral.
CCUACGGGGGGCAGCAGUCGAGAAUCAUUCACAAUGGGGGAAACCCUGAUGGUGCGACGCCGCGUGGGGGAAUGAAGGUCUUCGGAUUGUAAACCCCUGUCAUGUGGGAGCAAAUCAAAAAGAUAGUACCACAAGAGGAAGAGACGGCUAACUCUGUGCCAGCAGCCGCGGUAAUACAGAGGUCUCAAGCGUUGUUCGGAAUCACUGGGCGUAAGGCGUGCGUAGGCUGUUUCGUAAGUCGUGUGUGAAAGGCGCGGGCUCAACCCGCGGACGGCACAUGAUACUGCGAGACUAGAGUAAUGGAGGGGGAACCGGAAUUCUCGGUGUAGCAGUGAAAUGCGUAGAUAUCGAGAGGAACACUCGUGGCGAAGGCGGGUUCCUGGACAUUAACUGACGCUGAGGCACGAAGGCCAGGGGAGCGAAAGGGAUUAGAUACCCUGGUAGUC